RNAcentral lists this ribosomal RNA (484 nucleotides) under uncultured bacterium. RNAcentral describes it as "partial 16S ribosomal RNA". It matches the Rfam family "Bacterial small subunit ribosomal RNA", at positions 30 to 507 of the family's 1533-position model. The record is from RNAcentral.
AUUGAACGCUGGCGGCAUGCCUAACACAUGCAAGUCGAACGGUAGCAGGGCGUUGGCUCCUGGCGUGUGCCGCGGACGGGAGAGUUAUGCCUAGAAAUGUGCCAUCUAGGGGGGGAUCACGGCGGGAGACGGGCGAUUAUACCGUAUGCGCUCUGAGGGAGAACGUGGGGGCUCUUGGGAUCUCACGGUCGCAGAGGACGCUAGGUGGGAUUAGGUAGUUGGUGGGGUAAAGGUAUACCAAGGCGACGAUCUGUAUCUGGUCUGAGAGGAUGAUCAGCCACACUGGAACUGAGACACGGUCCAGACUCCUACGGGAGGCAGCAGUGGGGAAUAUUGGACAAUGGGCGAAAGCCUGAUCCAGCCAUGCCGCGUGUGUGAAGAAGGUCUUCGGAUUGUAAAGUGCUUUUAGUUGGGAGGAAGAGCAGUAAGUUAAUACCUUGCUGUUUUGACGUUACCGAAAGAAUAAGCACCGGCUAACUACGUG